Oncorhynchus nerka (sockeye salmon) is the source of this 589-nucleotide long non-coding RNA. RefSeq lists it as uncharacterized. The transcript has 3 exons. The record is from RefSeq and is a predicted model, not a curated record. Lineage: Eukaryota; Metazoa; Chordata; Actinopteri; Salmoniformes; Salmonidae.
UGGCGCGAUUACCACAUUUUCCGAACCCUGAUGAAUAAGCUGGACAGUCUUUUCGAAAAUCGUGAACAAUUACGGCGAUGGCCUAGGUUAUCGUUGAGACAUACCCCGGAACAACAACAACAAGUUCGAAGGCGGAUCUUUCCCUGGCAGGAAAGUGGACAGAGCUUCGACGGAGCGCGGAAAAUACUUUGUGAUGGGGAAUUGGAAACGGAUAAUGUUCAGGGCUAACAGGACCCCAUAUAUCUGAUCCCCGACAUUUACGCAGCUUUUACGCGAUUUACCUGAUCUGGAACAUGAUGGGGGUUCGCAGGAGCAAAAGUCUGGCAGACAAUCACCAACGGCCUUUUUUCGUUCCGACAUACAGCCCUUUAUGAUAAAGGAUGCGUUAUGGACAGCUGACACGCAGGACUUUGAUGCAAUUCUACCGUUCUGUACGAGCGCUUUUUCAAACUCACAGCGAAUCCAGGGAACAUCGACCCCCUCCCGACAUAUUCCAGACCCCAACAGGCAACGAUCAACUGUGGCCCAAGUACACUGCUCAGAAUCAAGCCCACCCGAAAACUACUGUUGGGCCGGGAACUUGCUGCUU